GACGUAGGGGGCCAGCGUUGUUCGGAAUUACUGGGUGUAAAGGGUUCGUAGGCGGUGCGGCAAGUCGGGAGUGAAAUCUCUGGGCUUAACCCAGAGGCUGCUUCCGAAACUGCUGUGCUUGAGUGUGGGAGAGGCGCGUGGAAUUGCAGGUGUAGCGGUGAAAUGCGUAGAUAUCUGCAGGAACACCCGUGGCGAAAGCGGCGCGCUGGACCACUACUGACGCUGAGGAACGAAAGCGUGGGGAUCAAACAGG
RNAcentral lists this ribosomal RNA (253 nucleotides) under uncultured bacterium. RNAcentral describes it as "partial 16S ribosomal RNA". It matches the Rfam family "Bacterial small subunit ribosomal RNA", at positions 524 to 776 of the family's 1533-position model. The record is from RNAcentral.